GCGAGUAUAGUUUAGUGGCAGAACAGUUGCUUCCCAAGCAACAGACGGGGUUUCGAUUACCCCUACUCGCA
RNAcentral lists this transfer RNA (71 nucleotides) under Patescibacteria group bacterium. RNAcentral's name for it is "tRNA-Gly". It matches the Rfam family "tRNA". Rfam says of the family: Transfer RNA (tRNA) molecules are approximately 80 nucleotides in length. The record is from RNAcentral.